This 71-nucleotide transfer RNA is filed under the name Stegodyphus mimosarum. It matches the Rfam family "tRNA". From Rfam's summary of the family: Transfer RNA (tRNA) molecules are approximately 80 nucleotides in length. Their secondary structure includes four short double-helical elements and three loops (D, anti-codon, and T loops). Lineage: Eukaryota; Metazoa; Arthropoda; Arachnida; Araneae; Eresidae. The record is from Rfam by way of RNAcentral.
GCGUUCGUAGUGUAGUGGUCAGCACUCAACUCGUAACCGAGAGGUCCGUGGUUCGAGUCCUGGCGAGGGCA